GAGAAGAGAUUUAGGGGUUGCUGAUAGGUUUCCGAUUCGAUAGAGAGGAUGAACAAGGGGACGGGAAGAGCAUCAAUCUGGGUAUUUUUGAUUAAUCUGGGAAGAGUAUCAAUCUGGGAAGAGCAUCAAUCUGCAUCUACCUGGGAAGAGUGCUGCUGUCGUCUUUGAGUUAUAUAUGGAUAACAGGGUUUUGAAUAGAUACAAGCAGAGAGGAUAUUUAGUUUUUGGGCCAUAAGCAUCAGAGGUAUUCUUGAGCAAGAAAUUGUAAAGGUUGCAGCUAUGAUC
Molecule: long non-coding RNA, 285 nt
Filed under: Rosa chinensis
Lineage: Eukaryota; Viridiplantae; Streptophyta; Magnoliopsida; Rosales; Rosaceae
Description: sRNA RchiOBHm_Chr6g0278181
Source: RNAcentral